UACAGAGGUCCCAAGCGUUGUUCGGAAUUACUGGGCGUAAAGCGCGUGUAGGCUGUUCGGAAAGUCGGGUGUGAAAGCCCUGGGCUCAACCUAGGAAGUGCACUCGAAACUCCCGAACUGGAGUCCCGGAGAGGAAGGUGGAAUUCUCGGUGUAGAGGUGAAAUUCGUAGAUAUCGAGAGGAACAUCGGUGGCGAAGGCGGCCUUCUGGACGGUGACUGACGCUGAGACGCGAAAGCGUGGGGAGCAAACAGG
Molecule: ribosomal RNA, 253 nt
Filed under: uncultured bacterium
Lineage: Bacteria
Description: partial 16S ribosomal RNA
Rfam family: Bacterial small subunit ribosomal RNA
Source: RNAcentral